ACGGCUCAGUAACACGUAGUCAAUCUACCCUAUGGACGGGAAUAACCUCGGGAAACUGAGAAUAAUGCCCGACAGAACAUUAUACCUGGAACGGUUUAUGUUUCAAAUGAUUUAUCGCCGUAGGAUGGGACUGCGGCCUAUCAGUUUGUUGGUGAGGUAAUGGCCCACCAAGACUAUUACAGGUACGGGCUCUGAGAGGAGUAGCCCGGAGAUGGGUACUGAGACACGGACCCAGGCCCUAUGGGGCGCAGCAGGCGAGAAAACUUUGCAAUGUGCGAAAGCACGACAAGGUUAAUCCGAGUGGUUUCUGCUAAAGAAACCUUUUGCUAGUCCUAGAAACACUAGUGAAUAAGGGGUGGGCAAGUUCUGGUGUCAGCCGCCGCGGUAAAACCAGCACCUCAAGUGGUCAGGAUGAUUAUUGGGCCUAAAGCAUCCGUAGCUCGUUUUGUAAGUUUUCGGUUAAAUCCAUACGCUUAACGUAUGGGCUGCCGGGAAUACUGCAUAACUAGGAAGUGGGAGAGGUAGACGGUACUCGGUAGGAAGGGGUAAAAUCCUUUGAUCUAUUGAUGACCACCUGUGGCGAAGGCGGUCUACCAGAACACGUUCGACGGUGAGGGAUGAAAGCUGGGGGAGCAAACCGGAUUAGAUACCCGGGUAGUCUCAGCUGUAAACUAUGCAAACUCAGUGAUGCAUUGGCUUGUGGCCAAUGCAGUGCUGCAGGGAAGCCGUUAAGUUUGCCGCCUGGGAAGUACGUACGCAAGUAUGAAACUUAAAGGAAUUGGCGGGGGAGCACA
Molecule: ribosomal RNA, 794 nt
Filed under: archaeon enrichment culture clone AOA-AC2
Lineage: Archaea
Description: bacterial SSU rRNA
Rfam family: Archaeal small subunit ribosomal RNA
Source: RNAcentral